Actinia tenebrosa (Australian red waratah sea anemone) is the source of this 598-nucleotide long non-coding RNA. RefSeq lists it as uncharacterized. Lineage: Eukaryota; Metazoa; Cnidaria; Anthozoa; Actiniaria; Actiniidae. The record is from RefSeq and is a predicted model, not a curated record.
GGCUUUCCAUCAACUUAACAAUCACAACGUACAAGUAUAAAGAGGUGAAAAUCCCGUAUUUCUGAGCAUUUUGUAAGAAGAAGUUUGAUCAGAAUGAACCAUCUGAGAGUUGUAGUGUGUAUUGGGUUAGUUUUAACUCUACAAUUAGUCGGACAGACCCAUGCCAUAUGGGGUUUAGAUGGCGCCAGCGGGAAAAGAACCUUCACACAAAAUAUCAAGGCAACCCUACUGGCUCGGAAGCUAUGUGCAUCAGAUAUGAGUGAAGCAGAAUGUAGAACAAUCAUAGAGUCCUACUACAAACAAAGGAGAGGAAUAUUUCGAUUGGACACGAUGGGAAGAAAGAACCAUUAGCCAGUAAAGACCAAGGAACAGAUCGAUAUCAUUCAGUUUUCAUGGCAAGCAUUCAUCAGAGAGGAAUCAAGUGUGUUGGUCGUUGAAAAUUGAACACAGAAACCUAUUUUUGUUUGAUGGAUUAAUGCAUCUCUUUGUAAAAGUGAUUUUGACUUUUUAAGUUUGAAAAAAACCUUUGCUUUUCCCACUGCUAAACAAUGUAGAUAUGUCAUUUGCAAAGAGAAUAAAUACUAUAAAAGAUUGCAAA